Molecule: long non-coding RNA, 6180 nt
Organism: Bubalus bubalis (water buffalo)
Lineage: Eukaryota; Metazoa; Chordata; Mammalia; Artiodactyla; Bovidae
Exons: 2
Source: RefSeq, a predicted model, not a curated record
UGGGUGUCUAGUUUCCUGCUGGCAAGGCUGCUAGUUCUGAUGACCCAACAAUCACCUGGAGAACUUGCUUAAAACUUUAUCUAGUAAACACAUAGAGACACAGAUGUAGCUUCCAGCUCCUCCCUGGAGAUUCUAAAUAGAAGCUGAAGGAUUCCUGUGGCAAAUUAUUGACUCACUGGCAUGGAACUUAAACCAGGAGGCCCCGCUUGUUAAUCCGGUUCACAGCUGACAUCCGGUUUCACCCCUUAGUAGGUGAUAACCACCCCUAUCUGUCUGGGAUUGUUUGGGUUUUAAUGCUGAAAAUACUAUUCUGGGCAACCCCUUAGACCCAGGCAACCCAGGGUAUUUGGUGACUCUGCCUCAAGUAAACUAGAAACCAGCUUGCAUUGUUAGCACCUGUCUUGGAAUUAUUUAGCCAUUUUUGCAAGUCCAGGUGCACCAUUCACCUGGCAGGGGUGUCAUGCAUCCUGGGAUCCUCAGCCUCAUGUGUUCGUUCUCUGGACCCCAUAUAGUACCUUGUUCUCAAUGUUCUCUUCUUUAGUGUUUAUCAAAAAAGCCAGUUUAUUCUCUCCCUGGCUUCCAAGCAUCUAAUCUCUUGCCUAGCAGUCUCACAUGUCUGAAAGUCCUAUAUUCUCUAAAUCAAAAUUCUGUGACUUUUUCAUUAUCCUUAGCCAAAUAGGCCAGACUGGGAUUAAAUCAUCUUUGUAAUUACAUUGUAUUUGCAUUUUUAAUGUACAAUUUGCAUGACAAUUGUUUAUGCCUCAGUCACAUUGGUUCUGAUUUUAUCCACGAGUAAGGGGACUCGUGGGCUGAGCGUGGGCAGUCAUUGGCCCUUGCCACAGGCAGGGCAGGUUGGUGGGCCCCUGGUGAGUGCCUUCCUGCCACCUUCCUCACCUCGUGGGUUUCUGGCUUGCUGCCAGCAUCACCCCGCAAUGCCCAGCUCCUUGUGCUCCCUUCUCUUGGGACUUCCCUUGUGACUCAGCUGGUAAAGAAUCUGCCUGCAAUGCAGGAGACCUCAGUUCAAUUCCUGGGUCAGGAAGAUCCCCUGGAGAAGGAAAAGUCUACCCACUCCAGUAUUCUGGCCUAGAGAAUUCCAUUAACUGUAUAGUCCACGGGGUUGCAAAGAGUCAGACACAGCUGAGCGAUUUUCAAGAAGAAGGGGACUAUAAUAGGAAAAUCCUGGGGGCUCAUGGUCAGAAAAGCUGACUCCAAAUUCUGGCCUUGAUCUUUACAUGCUCAGCAACCUUACAGCAACCAGUAUGAUGUGACACAUGGUGCUAUGGGUUGAAUUGUGCUCAGUCAUUCAGUUGUAUACAACUCUUUGUGACCCUAUGGACCAUAGUCCUCCAGGUUCCUCUGUCCAUGGGGUUUUCCAGGCAAGAAUACAGGAGAGGCUUCCCAUUUCCUGCUCUAAAAGGUUUAAUUGCAUUCCCCCAAAUUCAUAUGUAGAAGUUCUAAGCCCCAACAUGAUGGGAAUGUGAUCUUCUUUGGAAAUAGGGUCAAUGCAGAUGUAACUAGUAAAGACAAGUUCAUGCUGAAGUAGAAUGGGCCUCUAAUCCAGUGUGACUGGUGUCAUUAUAAAAGGGAAAUUUGGAGACAGGAACACAUAAGGAGAAUGCCUUGUGAAGACUGGAGUUUAUGCAAUCACACGUUAAAAAACUACCAGAAGGUAAUUAGUGAGAGACCCAGAAUAGAGUCUUUCCUAGAGCCUUCAGAGGGAGUGUGGCCCUGGUGAUACGUUGAUCUCGGACUUCUAGCCUCCAGAACUACAAGGCAACAAGGUUUCGUUAUUUUAAGCAGCUCAGUGCGUGGUACUUCGUUAUAGCAGCCGUAGCAAACUAAUACAGAUGGUAACAUCUGCUUCAGAGGAUUUUUCCAAUGGUUAAACAUUUGAUUAUUCAUGUGAAAGUACUUGGUAUAUCAGAGUCAUUAAUGAAUAAUAGGAAAAUACAGGGUGGUGGGUUACCAGGAAAUUACAGCUUUCAGUGUCGGGAUUCAAACUCCUUUUCCUGCUCUGUUACAAUUUAGCUGACAACAGCAAAUCAAUUCAACCUCUCAUCUCUUUGAUCCUUAUUUUCUCAUAUGUAAAAUGCACAUAAUGGCACAGACUUCAUAGGAUACUUUCGAUGAUUAGGUAAAAUAAUGUAUGAAAGUGUAUUAACCAGAUUUAUAAGCAAGGCGACAUGGUUUUUGCCCUUGCGAUGUAAAAGGCACAAAACUUUAAGCCUCUUCUUUCAGCAGCAUCCCCCACCUGUGCCUCCUUAGCCCAAAGUCUGAGGCCAAGAGUGAUGACAGCUGAUGGAUGAAUGAGCCUGAGAUCCUGCCAACCCUUUGUGUUUGGGGACCCAUAAGGACUACCCUUUCAUUUCUCCCUCCCUGCCCACCCUCCCAUUUGAGGACAAGUUUCUUGCUUCUUUUCCUCAGGAUCAAAAGAACUAUAACUCUAAUAGCUAAACCCCCUUUCUUUUCUUUUUUGGAAGAAACAAUCUGAUAGCUAUAAUUAUUCCUGCAGACUCGAUUAUUUUCACAGAAAUUAAAUAUGUCUGUGGUAGUACUUCAAUAGAUCAAUGUGUUUGUUACACUAUCAAAAUAACUUUUUCCCCCCUGCUAUGUUGAAGAAAUGAACAAUUGAGUGCCAGAUUGCAAAACUGAGGUUUUGUUUAAUAUUUACUGCUAGCUGGCACAUUUGCUCUCAGAAAAAAAAAAAAGAAAAAGCACAGAGCAACGCCAUUUGUAUCCUAUAAAACCCAUGAUAACAAUUCAUGUGCAAACCCUCCCCCUGGAUUAAGCAUAUAAUAUUGGUAAUGAAAUAUUAGCUCCAAAAUGAAUGUCUAUGGCCUUAAAAUAUAAAUGCCCUUUGACCCAGUAAAUCUACUGGCAGAAAUUUUUCCUGAGGAAAGAAAUGUUCAAGUGUUCAACUUUGCAAAGGUUUGUAUAUCAAGGAUAUGGGCUUAUCUCAGAGAUACUGAUGACUCAGUUCUAGAUCCUGCAAUAAAGUGAGUCACAGAAAUUUUUUGGUUUCCCGAUGCAUAUAAAAUUUAUGUUCGUAUUGUACUGUAGUCUACCAAGUGUGCAGUGAGAUUAUGUCCAAACAAACAUUGCUUUUUAAUAUACCAUAUUUGAUAUGCCUUAACUGAUAGUUUAAGGUAUAUAACUUAAGUACUUUAUUGCUAAAAAAUGCUAACCAUCAUCUGAGCCUUCAGAGAGUUGUAAGCUUUUUGCAAUAGUAACAUGAAAUAUCACUGACCACAAAUCACCAUAACAAAUGUAACUAUGAUGAAAAAGUUCGAAGUCUUGCACACAUUAUCAAAAUAUGACACAGAGACAAGAAGUAAGCAAAUGGUGUUGGAAAAAAUGGUGCCAAUAGACUUACUUGACAUAGCUUCCACAAAUCUUCAAUUUGUAAAAAACAUAAUAUCUGCAAAGCUCAAUAAAACAAGGUAUGCCUGUGUUCAGCAGAGAUUAUUUGUAAUAUAUUUUCUUAAAAGUCCUAAAUUUCAGUAUUUGAGAUUGGUCCAAUACAGUGUGGUUUAUCUUAUUAACUGCAUAUUGUCUAACUAUUAAUAGUGGAAAAAUAGAUUUCUAUUGAGAUGAGGAAACUCUUAAGUGAGCAAGUUACAAAACAAUAUGUAAAAUAUUAUUCAAGUUUUCGGCUAAAUGUUUAAAUGUAUAUGGAGAGAGUAUAUAUAUGAGAAAAGAAGAAAAGGGGCAUUCACUAAAAUAUUAAUAGUAGUUCAGAGUAGAAAUACUGUUUUUUAUAUUGCUCUUUAUGGAUUUCUAUUUUUAUUUUUUAAGUGAGUAUGCUUUAUCUUUAUAAUCAGAAAGGAUUAUUAAAGCUUUAUUAGCCUAGAAACCUUAAGGGGAAUUAGUUUCAAUCAAAGGAAGCAGUAGGCUAUAGCAUUUCCCAAACCAUGUCUUGAAAUAUGUGGUAGGAAUUCUUCAAAGCAAGGGUUCCCUUGUGAAAUAAGUUUAGAAAACAUCUUUCUUGUUCCCUCUCUUUCUCAGUUUCACAAUGAAAAUUAGUAGCAACAGCAAAUAAUUACCUUAACUUGAUUUGAUCAUAAAGCAUCAUUUUUUUCUUGUUUCACCUCUUAAUAAUAUCCCCUGCUAGUUAAGUGCUUUGAGACACUCAGUUUGGGUGGAAAACACUGUUUAAAGCAGGAAUCUUUUUAGCCUCCAUUAAUCAAUUUGGAGGGAUAGAGGAGACAUUUGCUGUUUCUGUAUCUGCAUGCAUUCUCCAUAUUCCUAAUUCCCAACAGCAACCAGACUCACCUUUGUAAAACCAAUCUUCCCUACUAAGGGCUGUGUGAAUGGGGGCCAGGGGUAUAAAUCAGUAACAUGACAUCCAUCCUUUAACCACAGUGGAUGAGCGAUGGGUAAUAAUCCUUAGCCUAAUCCACCCAUAGCAUUUCCCCAACCACAGUCAGUGAUAAAGGUGAGUUCCAUUGGGUCAGAAAUUAGGACAUUUGUUGAAUAACUGUGCUAAGUAUCGUGCUAACAGUCCCUGGACAUGAAAACACAGAGCACCAGUAACUCUGAGAGCAGCCAUCUUGUGACCACGAGGAGCAAAGCCAGCCUUAGAAAAAAUUGUAUCUGAUGCCUGGCACACUUCCGGCCAAUAAAUCUCCUUUCAGUUUGGAUUUGUUUUUCUAUUACUUCCAAAUGAACAGCUUUUGAUUCAGGAGACUCAAGAAGAACUUCAAUGAAAUAACUAAGGCUAAUCAAAUGCCUUAAAAUUAUAGUUCAUAUGGGCCCAGUUAAUCUAUGCCUCACUCACCUGUCCAAUUCCACAGCAUCCUUUCCAUUAUGCAAAUGUUAUAUUUUAUAUCAUAUGUAUAUAUUCACAUUUCCUUACUUUUAAUUGUCCUAGAAUACAUAUCCACAUCUCACCUGGAGAUUGGGAAGUCAGGGAUAUCAAAGUUUCCUCACUGGUUCUCCUCCCUAUGGCUGGCCAAAGCCCACAUCCCUGGAAUGAAUCCCACCAUAGUGGCAGUCCAGCAAGGAAUGGUAGCCAUCUCACUAGGUAUUAUCCUCAUGCAUCAGUGAAAGUGCCAGAGAGUUAUAGCAUCAGAUCCAUAAGCAAUUUGCCAUCCAUCAGUGUCUCUUCCUAUUUUUUUUUUUUUUUAUUACCUACUGCUUCCUGGGCUGUUACUGAAUCCAUACCAUAGGAUGUCUGAAAAGUACAAAUAAUCUAAUAGAAAAUGAAAGUUUCAAAUGGAUACACUACCCUCCUUGACUUAGGUUUCUUUCCAGCAAUUUCCAUCUCAUAAGUCAAGUGACUUCUGACACAAAUGAUGUCAUAAAAUCACCAGGAAGAACUUGCCUGAGAAUUUAAUUGGAAAUAUCAACCAAAGAAGCAUCCAUAUUGUACCUAUAAACCAUGUCCCAAAAGGCUUGAGAGCCUAUCUCCUGGUACAGUGUAAAGUUUCUAUUGACAAAUGGAUUUUACAUACACAUAAGUGUGGCUGGAUAUGAAAGGCUGUUUGACUCUGCAUACUCGAGUAAAAGCAGUCCAGAAACAACAGAUAUCACCCUGGAAACAAGUCACUAUAGGGUUGGGAGGAGACAUAUAAAGGGUGAGUCAUAUUCUUCAUGGACUUGAUAUGAAGUUGAGGAUAAAACCUAUGUUAAUCUUUUUUUUAAAAAAAAAUCAAAGUAAGGGCCUUCUGAUAAUAAAUGCAUGAAAUAGAGGCCAAAUAUCCUAGACAGGUGCUAUGCUCUCAAAUGCAGACAUACACCACUAGUUCCCACCACCAAAUAAACUUAAGCCACAGUUCUCCCUGCUCUAUGAAGCUGAAACAGAGUCAGAGUUUGAACGUCAUUUGUUUACAAUCGGUGGUCACCCCAGAUCAGGGUUUUUCAACCUAAUCAGUGUUGACAUUUCGGAUAAGAUAAUUCUCUGCUGUGAGGGGCUGUCCUGUGUGUUCUAGGAUAGUUAGCAGCAUCUCUGGCUUCUGCACUAGAUCCCAAUAGCUUCUUCUCAAUUGAGUCAACCAAAACACGUCUCUAGACAUUGCCUAACGACCCCUGAAGGCAAAAUACCUCAGAUUGAGAACCAAUACACUGUAUUAUUCUUAUUGUGGUUGCUUUGUCCUCUCUCACUUUAGUUAACUGGGAGCAGUUCCCCCCAGAAUUCCUUCUUUGGUAUGUUUCCAGGUUGGGAAUGAGUACAAGAGGCAU